Molecule: ribosomal RNA, 253 nt
Filed under: uncultured bacterium
Lineage: Bacteria
Description: partial 16S ribosomal RNA
Rfam family: Bacterial small subunit ribosomal RNA
Source: RNAcentral
UACGAGGGGGGCGAGCGUUGUUCGGAAUUAUUGGGCGUAAAGGGCGCGUAGGCGGGGAGGUAAGUCGGGUGUGAAAUCCCUCGGCCCAACCGAGGAACUGCGCCCGAGACUGCUUCUCUUGAGUCCCGGAGAGGAAGAUGGAAUUCCCGGUGUAGCGGUGAAAUGUGUAGAGAUCGGGAGGAACACCGGUGGCGAAGGCGGUCUUCUGGACGGUGACUGACGCUGAGGCGCGAAAGCGUGGGGAGCAAACGGG